Molecule: non-coding RNA, 30 nt
Filed under: Mus musculus (house mouse)
Lineage: Eukaryota; Metazoa; Chordata; Mammalia; Rodentia; Muridae
Source: RNAcentral
UGCAAGGGUCCCUUUUGUAUUUGUCCUGGU